This 74-nucleotide transfer RNA is filed under the name Desulfovibrio sp. RNAcentral's name for it is "tRNA-Cys". It matches the Rfam family "tRNA". From Rfam's summary of the family: Transfer RNA (tRNA) molecules are approximately 80 nucleotides in length. Their secondary structure includes four short double-helical elements and three loops (D, anti-codon, and T loops). Lineage: Bacteria; Pseudomonadati; Thermodesulfobacteriota; Desulfovibrionia; Desulfovibrionales; Desulfovibrionaceae. The record is from RNAcentral.
GGCGACAUAGCCAAGCGGUAAGGCAGGGGUCUGCAAAAUCCCGAUCUCCAGUUCAAAUCUGGAUGUCGCCUCCA